Molecule: long non-coding RNA, 1060 nt
Organism: Polypterus senegalus (gray bichir)
Lineage: Eukaryota; Metazoa; Chordata; Cladistia; Polypteriformes; Polypteridae
Exons: 4
Source: RefSeq, a predicted model, not a curated record
AGAAGGGGAUGGGUUAGGGCUGAUUUCACCCUACAGUGUUUUCAGUCGACCAACGAGGAACUUGUGUACCAAGUUUCAUGAAAAUCGCUCCAACCAUUCGGACGUUAUGCUGGAACAUACAUACAUUGACUAAUAUAGGGAUAUAUAUAUAUAUAUAGAAUAGAAAUAGAUAAGAUGCCAGAAACACGUUCGGAGUGAGAAGGGUCCAGCUGCGGGUCGAAGACUCGGCCUUCCACGCCCCCGACCUUCCACAGUCCGCCCCACGACCGCCCACAGUCCGUAGAAAGAGAAGGAGAAGAGCUGCUGUACAGUUUUUCCAAUUCGAAAAAGAAAAGGAGCUGAAAACAUUUACCGACACGGAACAAUGACACAACAGAACCAGUCACAUUUCUCCAUAAGGACAGAAAAUAUAAAACCAACUUUGAUUACAUUGAUUAAAUAUCAAAACGAGUCCAAGUGCCCUCUUUGUAAAAAGCAAAGAGACUACAGCAUCCUGCUGCCUGCCUUCAGAGUCAUGAAGACCACAGUGUCAAGUAUGCAGGUUUCCAAAGGACCAUUUUGUGGUGUCUCUGUAUUUCAUCCUCAAGGCCUCCUUCAAUUUUAAUGAGCAUACUGUCCCUAGUGGUUUUGAAGUUCCAGAAACGCCUACCUUUCAAAAUCCAGAUAUUUUAAAUGUAUGUUUAUAAUGGUUUGCAUAAACAUUUUUGUAACAUUAAACUCCUUUCAACAACGUGACUCUGCUCAGUCCUCUUUAGAAUGACAUGCUGGUUUUGAGGAAGUGCUGGUGUAGAAUGUCACUUGAGAACUCCAGUCCCAAGGAGUAAAUGACAUUUCAUUUAACAACUUUAAUUUAGUUCUGCUGUAAUGUGGCAAGUAUACGUAGCCAUAUUGUAACUCAAAGACAAAUAGUCAUAAUGCUUACCAUUAUAAACUUAAUGUUUCUUUUUGAAAUCACUGAAGUAACUGCUCACAUCGGACUGAGCGAGCAAACACCCUUCUAAAUGAAGGCCAAGAAUCAAACAAAAAAUUAGAAGGUACAGAAAUAAUGGACAGCCGGGCC